Molecule: ribosomal RNA, 216 nt
Filed under: Glomeromycotina sp.
Lineage: Eukaryota; Fungi; Glomeromycota
Description: partial small subunit ribosomal RNA
Rfam family: Eukaryotic small subunit ribosomal RNA (bases 40-216)
Source: RNAcentral
GGGUCAGUAGGUUGGUCGUGCCACCGGUACGUACUGGUCUCACUGAUUCCUCCUUCCUGAAGAACCGUAAUGCCAUUAAUUUGGUGUCGCGGGGAAACAGGACUGUUACUUUGAAAAAAUUAGAGUGUUUAAAGCAAGCUAACGCUUGAAUGCAUUAGCAUGGAAUAAUGAAAUAGGACGAUCGAUCCUAUUUUGUUGGUUUCUAGGAUUGACGUA